AAAUCUAUCAUAUAAGAAAAGUCUACCAUUUGGGACUUUCUUAGGCUAUCCACAUCAGCAACUCUUCUAUGGUUAAUCCACAUCAGCACUGUCAAUUUUCUAUUCUCUCAAUCUUUGAUUCACGUAUCUAUUGUUAUUCCAAUUCCAAAAACGGUUUCAUUCACGUAUCUAUCGCUAUUCCAAUUCCAAAAACAGUUUCACACGUUCUCUUUUUUCUACCGAACUGUUUCUAUUCCAAUUCCAAAACGCUGUCUCUCUUUAUAUCUAUUUGUUUCUUCUUCCUCUCAAUCUUCAUACAAAUCUCUCAUCCACUCUCGAUCGUGAACGGUGGUGCAACCUCUUUCUCAGAUGAAAGGGCGCCGGUUUUUGGUUGAAGGGUUAUGUAAUUGAUGAUUUUGUCAUCGUCGCUCAUCUGUUUCACGAGACAGAAGAAUCAUGACCCGAACUGCAACAAACCAUGGAGUUCGCUCGGUUUCAUCUGUCUCUCUCAAAAUCAACAAGUGUUUCCCUAAAAAAUCCAUGGCUAUGGCAAACACAAACCAUUCUCUCAACCUCAUAAAUGGUUCUCGAAAACAUAUAGCAGAUGCAAUCAAACACAAACAUAAACCCUAACCCCAUAAAUCACCCGAGCCCCAAUUCAAUAUUUUUGAUGUUUGCAAAUUACCAUCAUGAAUCGCUCAAAGGAAUCAAUAAGCAUGCUCAGAUAAUACAUAAAAUUAUUAUCAGGGAAGAAAAAGAUACCCAAAUCAAAAGCCAUAGUGACGAUGGUACACAGGAUUCUAUCCAGCCAUUCAGAAUUUGGAGAGCUGAUUUGAGAUCGAAUUGAUAAUCUGAAAAAUAAUGACUUGGCUGAGACCCAUCGAUACUGAAUGCUUUUGAUAAAGAAAUGGAAGGAACUAACCUCUCAAGGAUUAUCCCGGGUGUAGCUUUUGUUAUUAACCAUUCAUGUGCUUUGAUCAUUAUUUUUGAUUCCAAGUCUUCUACAGCCAAUCUCCGUUACUUGAAACCUGGAUAAUAUUUGGUUUAGCUUGUGAUGUUGCAGUUUUGUGACUGAACCGAUAUCAAUUGACCUGAAUGUUGCAUUGAAAUCUACUUGUGAAUAGUAUGAUCAUUAUUGUGUGAGUAUACAGGUUUUGAGGUUUAUCAGUUGGGGACUAGAGCAGGAACAUUGUUUUUGGAGACAGUUAGAUCUUUUGAUCAGGCUGCUGGAAAGGUUGCAGUGCAUAACCGCUUAUGUGGAAGAACACAUCUCGAAUGAUCUCAAAUCAUAAAGUCAUGCUCACAAUCAUCCAGAAGAAAGAAAUUCACCUAUGCAACGGGCAAUAUUUGAAUAUCUUAAAGGGAAAGUGUUAGAUGUAUAUCCUAAAUAUAAGAAAGAAG
Long non-coding RNA from Vicia villosa (hairy vetch), 1380 nucleotides. RefSeq lists it as uncharacterized. The record is from RefSeq and is a predicted model, not a curated record. Lineage: Eukaryota; Viridiplantae; Streptophyta; Magnoliopsida; Fabales; Fabaceae. The transcript is spliced from 5 exons.